CAGCCGCCGCGGUAAUACGAAGGGGGCUAGCGUUGUUCGGAAUUACUGGGCGUAAAGCGCACGCAGGCGGCUCGAUAAAUUAGAAGUGAAAGCCUUGGGCUUAACCUGAGAAUUGCUUUUAAGACUGUCGAGCUAGAAUCCAGAAGAGGGUAGUGGAAUUCCGAGUGUAGAGGUGAAAUUCGUAGAUAUUCGGAAGAACACCAGUGGCGAAGGCGACUACCUGGUCUGGCAUUGACGCUCAUGUGCGAAAGCGUGGGGAGCAAACAGGAUUAGAUACCCCGGUAGUCCCUGUCUCUUAUAU
This 301-nucleotide ribosomal RNA is filed under the name uncultured bacterium. RNAcentral's name for it is "partial 16S ribosomal RNA". It matches the Rfam family "Bacterial small subunit ribosomal RNA", at positions 509 to 809 of the family's 1533-position model. The record is from RNAcentral.